This 77-nucleotide transfer RNA is filed under the name Pseudomonadota bacterium. RNAcentral describes it as "tRNA-Gly". It matches the Rfam family "tRNA". Rfam says of the family: Transfer RNA (tRNA) molecules are approximately 80 nucleotides in length. Their secondary structure includes four short double-helical elements and three loops (D, anti-codon, and T loops). RNAcentral also lists the same sequence under 1 other name. Lineage: Bacteria; Pseudomonadati; Pseudomonadota. The record is from RNAcentral.
GCGGGAAUAGCUCAGCCUGGUAGAGCAUCAGCCUUCCAAGCUGAGGGUCGCGGGUUCGAAUCCCGUUUCCCGCUCCA